UGGCCCAUNUCAACGGCUAGGACCUAGAGC
This 30-nucleotide non-coding RNA is filed under the name Homo sapiens (human). Lineage: Eukaryota; Metazoa; Chordata; Mammalia; Primates; Hominidae. The record is from RNAcentral.